AGAUCUUAAUAUUUCAAUCUUGAUGUCACAUACCUUUCUCAUCUCAAAUUACAAAAAAAAUAAUAAAAUUAGAAAAAUCAGCUUAAACCAAAAACCCAAAAAAAUUAAAAUUAAUAUGUUUUAAGGUGUUGGAUGCCCAAAUUUUAGUCAUGGUUCUUUUCUACCCAAUCUGAUCUUCCUAAUGUGAACUCCAAGCUAGGGUUUUUCUGAUCCAAA
RNAcentral lists this unclassified non-coding RNA (216 nucleotides) under Hevea brasiliensis (rubber tree). The record is from RNAcentral. Lineage: Eukaryota; Viridiplantae; Streptophyta; Magnoliopsida; Malpighiales; Euphorbiaceae.